GGUGGGACUGCUGGUGACUCUGAUGGAGCAGGAAUUCUCAAGCAGCUCAGAGGCAGCAGUUAAGGAAGGGAUUCAUUAAGGCAAGAGCAGCAGCGAAUGGCAGCUGCCCUGCAGGUGGGCCACGUCACUGGGCUGCAUUCUUCCCCAAUGAACCCAGUUCGACCCUGAGACUCUCAAAAGGAAAAGGUAAUAUUCUUCUGCAACACAUCUUGGCCGCAACACCAACUAGGAGACCAAGAACAAUGGCUUAAUCCUAACACUUUUACUGAAUUGAAUCUUUUCUGGAAGUGGGCAAACAAAAGGGCAGAAGUGCCUUACGUUCAGACUUGCUUCUAUGUCAGAAGCUGAAGAGGCCACGCCAAGCUUGCCAACUUGCUGCAGCCCUCUCUCCACUCCUCUUCCUACUUUACCUCUGCACCAGUGUCAGCUAAAGCCGACCUUAGGACACAAUUGAAAACACUGGUUAUAUUAUCAAAGCUGUGACUGAAGUGACAUAUUUGAGAGAGGCACACGUAUACUCAGACAUGACCAGGCAGCUUGAAGGAGCCAACAUUGACUUUAUGGGGCCAACAAAGCCCCUCAGAAGAACU
Molecule: non-coding RNA, 590 nt
Organism: Manis javanica (Malayan pangolin)
Lineage: Eukaryota; Metazoa; Chordata; Mammalia; Pholidota; Manidae
Source: RefSeq, a predicted model, not a curated record